This 460-nucleotide ribosomal RNA is filed under the name uncultured bacterium. Its description in RNAcentral is "partial 16S ribosomal RNA". It matches the Rfam family "Bacterial small subunit ribosomal RNA", at positions 339 to 795 of the family's 1533-position model. The record is from RNAcentral.
CUACGGGAUGCUGCAGUAAGGAAUAUUGGUCAAUGGACGAAAGUCUGAACCAGCCAUGCCGCGUGAAGGAUUAAGGUCCUCUGGAUUGUAAACUUCUUUUAUAUGGGACGAAAAAAGGUCUUUCUAGAUCACUUGACGGUACCAUAUGAAUAAGCACCGGCUAACUCGCGUGCCAGCAGCUGCGGUAAUACGGAGGGUGCAAGCGUUAUCCGGAUUCACUGGGUUUAAAGGGUGCGUAGGCGGGCAGGUAAGUCAGUGGUGAAAUCCUGGAGCUCAACUCCAGAACUGCCAUUGAUACUAUCUGUCUUGAAUAUUGUGGAGGGAAGCGGAAUAUGUCAUGUAGCGGUGAAAUGCUUAGAUAUGACAUAGAACACCCAUUGCGAAGGCAGCUUACUACGCAUAUAUUGACGCUGAGGCACGAAAGCGUGGGGAUCAAACAGGAUUAGAUACCCCCGUAGUC